Molecule: small nuclear RNA, 180 nt
Gene: U2
Rfam family: U2 spliceosomal RNA
About the family: U2 is a small nuclear RNA (snRNA) component of the spliceosome (involved in pre-mRNA splicing). Complementary binding between U2 snRNA (in an area lying towards the 5' end but 3' to hairpin I) and the branchpoint sequence (BPS) of the intron results the bulging out of an unpaired adenosine, on the BPS, which initiates a nucleophilic attack at the intronic 5' splice site, thus starting the first of two transesterification reactions that mediate splicing.
Source: Ensembl
AUCACCUCUCAGUGUUUUGGCUAAGAUCAAGUGUAGUAUCUGUUCUUAUAAGUUUAAUAUCUGAUAUGUCCUCUAUCUGAGGAUACUAUAUUAAAUGGGUUUUUGGAGCAGGGAGAUGGGAUAGGAGCUUACUCUGUCCACUCCAGGUAUUGCAGUACCUCCAGGAAUGGUGCACCCUCU